UGGGGAAUUUUGGACAAUGGGGGGAAACCCUGAUCCAGCCAUCCCGCGUGUGCGAUGAAGGCCUUCGGGUUGUAAAGCACUUUUGGCAGGAAAGAAACGUCGCGGGUUAAUACCCCGCGAAACUGACGGUACCUGCAGAAUAAGCACCGGCUAACUACGUGCCAGCAGCCGCGGUAAUACGUAGGGUGCAAGCGUUAAUCGGAAUUACUGGGCGUAAAGCGUGCGCAGGCGGUUCGGAAAGAAAGAUGUGAAAUCCCAGAGCUUAACUUUGGAACUGCAUUUUUAACUACCGGGCUAGAGUGUGUCAGAGGGAGGUGGAAUUCCGCGUGUAGCAGUGAAAUGCGUAGAUAUGCGGAGGAACACCGAUGGCGAAGGCAGCCUCCUGGGAUAACACUGACGCUCAUGCACGAAAGCGUGGGGAGCAAACAGGAUUAGAUACCCUGGUAGUCCACGCCCUAAACGAUGUCAACUAGCUGUUGGGGGCCUUCGGGCCUUGGUAGCGCAGCUAACGCGUGAAGUUGACCGCCUGGGGAGUACGGUCGCAAGAUU
This 549-nucleotide ribosomal RNA is filed under the name uncultured bacterium. RNAcentral describes it as "partial 16S ribosomal RNA". It matches the Rfam family "Bacterial small subunit ribosomal RNA", at positions 355 to 895 of the family's 1533-position model. The record is from RNAcentral.